Molecule: long non-coding RNA, 8618 nt
Organism: Brassica napus (rape)
Lineage: Eukaryota; Viridiplantae; Streptophyta; Magnoliopsida; Brassicales; Brassicaceae
Exons: 2
Source: RefSeq, a predicted model, not a curated record
CUUGUCAGUUGUCACAGUGGAGACACAAGACGUUUGCUCGGCUCAGAAUCUUUCAGCGUUUCAACGAUUAACCUACACCAUACGGCUGAGAAAAUUUGCGUUUGUGGCUUUGAAUAGUCUGUAAGAUCAAAUCACUCAUCAACGUUUAGUUUAUUUGACUUGACUAGGUGGACCGUUCCUAUUGAUUUUUUUUUUAAAUCUGUGUGGAAGCUAUUAGUCUUCACAGUAGACUUGUUAAGUCAAGCUUUUUUUUUUUUUUUUUGGUAAGUCAAGCUCUCAAUUUCUUCUUAUAUAUGUAAGAGGCAAUCGAAUGUUGUAGAGGCAAUUGAAUGUUGUAGAGUCACCAACCGUAAAGACCCGUUUUUCUUAACCAAAAUUAGUUUGUGUUUCUCAUUAAUUAAAUUGGUAAACCAAUCUGGUUUUGUUCAAUUAAGUAUAUAUCCAACAAGCAAAUUGGUUUCUUAGGUUUUAUUAAUUGUUGCCUUAUAUAAAUACACAAAAGUGUUUAUAUCUUCUUUAUCUAUUUCAAAACCCUCGCCGCUUAACCUCACGCCUCCACUACUUCUCCCUUUUUCUUCUUCACGAUCGUUUAACAUCACUUAGUGGUUUGUACGUCAUCUUGAUCAAAACUCACCACUCGGAGGAGCCUUGCCAUGCUGGAGUUGAUGAAGAUCACCGGAGACCAAGCCUUGUGAUUGGACGUUAUCUCUGCCUCGUGCCGGUGGUGGUACACUCGCCAUGGUGAUAGACGAGCAAACCGGAGCCGCCACGUUCCUCUCUGUUGACCAUCCGCACAUGCUGACGUGAACGCUUGGUCAUUGGAGAUGAGAUGUGUUGACGGAGAGCCGUAGAUGCAUCCUCGUGACGUUACAUACAUGGUUGGUGAUGUGAAGAACAUGACCAAAGACGUGAAGGGUUAAGUGUGGUUCUUCCUUGUUUUCUUGCGCAUCAAGUUAUGUGAAGCCGUAAAUCUAACUAAACUAAUUGCCUCUUUUCUUUUGUGUUAAUGUUUUAUGUGUCCGAAUGGUCCUCCGGAUGUGCCACUUUUUCAAACCAAUCUAAGGUGAAACCUUAGCUUUCUUGGUGAUCAAGUCAUGUCAUUGUUUUCCGAUCUAAUUCUGGUUCUCGAUAUUGGCUAAGGUGAUCAUGACGAGUAGUUGGAUAUGUGGACGGAUUGGUGUCUUGGGAUUAUUUUAUUUUGGUUUUAAUUAACUUUUCGAUUUAAUUUAUUUGGUUUUAAAUUAUAAACUGGUUUUAUUUGGAAAUUAUUUGAUUAAAAGGUUUGACAUUUUAUUCGGUUUUAUAAAUCGGUUUAAUUUGGUAUUUUUCGGUUAGUAGCACGCCGUUCUCGAGAGAGGAGGAGACGGGUGUUACAAUUUGGUAUCAGAGCUGGUUAGCCAUCUCAGUUCUGACCUGAGAGGCAUCUUGAGACCUGUCGUGGGCGCAACGAGGACGUUGCGUUCUUUGAGAGGGGGUGAAUUGUAACAUCCCGAGUUGUGAUAUGUGAAAAAGGCUUAAAGGAAUUGAUUUGGCUACCUAUGUCACCAAAGUUGACUUACCUUUAUGCACAUCCUGAAAGAACUCCAGAGUUAAGCGUGCUUGAGCUGGAGUAGUGGAAGGAUGGGUGACCUAUCGGAAAGUGAUUCGCGAUAGCGUGCGAGUGAGGCCAAAACAUGGGAAAAGGUCGGGUGGUGAUUUCAGGGUCAAUGAACAAUGAUUUCGAGCCUUUAGAAAAAUAAACGGACCAAUCGCAUGAACGGGAUGGCCCCACGGGCCGAGAGAGCGGGCGUGGGUGGCCCAUUAGCUGUGGGCGGUCGGAGCGUUACAAGUGGUAUCAGAGCGGGGUUCCGUCCCGGCUCUGACCCGGAUGGCGAUUUAUGGGACUUGGAUUUCAACGAUUUUUAAUAUUUCGGGGAUUGGGAACUUUUUCAAAAAAUAUAUAUAUAUGACACCUUCCUCUCCAGUAUCACUUGGUUAGGUUUUAGCGUUUCUGAGUUUGUUUUGUUUAGGAGGAGAAGACCAAGCUUCUUUUUGUUUCAUUUGUUCUUUAUCUCGUGUUCUUCUUCUCCUUUGUAUCCGUUGAAGUUCUUCUCGGGUUCUAAUUUAGAAUUCGGGACAAAUUCCGAUUAAGUGGGGAAGAAUUGUAACGACUCGUUUUUCUUAACCAGAAUUGGUUUGUGUUUCUCAUUAAUUAAAUUGGUAAACCAAUCUGGUUUUGUUCAAUUAAGUAUAUAUCCAACAAGCAAAUUGGUUUCUUAGGUUUUAUUAAUUGUUGCCUUAUAUAAAUACACAAAAGUGUUUAUAUCUUCUUCAUCUAUCUCAAAACCCUCGCCGCUUAACCUCACGCCUCCACUACUUCUCCCUUUUUCUUCUUCACGAUCGUGUAACAUCACUUAGUGGUUUGUACGUCAUCUUGAUCAAAACUCACCACUCGGAGGAGCCUUGCCAUGCUGGAGUUGAUGAAGAUCACCGGAGACCAAGCCUUGUGAUUGGACGUUAUCUCUGCCUCGUGCCGGUGGUGGUACACUCGCCAUGGUGAUAGACGAGCAAACCGGAGCCGCCACGUUCCUCUCUGUUGACCAUCCGCACAUGCCGACGUGAACUCUUGGUCAUUGGAGAUGAGAUGUGUUGACGGAGAGCCAUAGAUGCAGCCUCAUGACGUUACAUACAUGGUUGGUGAUGUGAAGAACAUGAUCAAAGAUGUGAAGGGUUAAGUGUGGUUCUUCCUUGUUUUCUUGCGCAUCAAGUUAUGUGAAGCCGUAAAUCUAACUAAACUAAUUGCCACUUUUCUUUUGUGUUAAUGUUUUAUGUGUCCGAAUGGUCCUCCGGAUGUGCCACUUUUUCAAACCAAUCCAAGGUGAAACCUUAGCUUUCUGGUGAUCAAGUCAUGUCAUUGUUUUCCGAUCUGAUUCUGGUUCUCUAUAUUGGCUAAGGUGAGGGCUAUUCUGUUAAAUCCCGAGCUAGUUUAGUACUACUAUUAUGGAAAGUCUAGUUUCGAAAAUUGAUCUGUCUCUGUGAAUUGAGUCUUUUUGAGAGUCUUGUUUGUUUAUUAUUAUUAUUGAUUGUUAAACCGGAAAUAGGAUAAUAGAGGAUUCAACUGUUGAAUGAAUUGAGUGAUGUUAAAACUGCUAUAUAUAUAUAUAUAUGUAUAUAAAUAUAUAAGUCCGUUUGUGUGGAUUGCGGGUGCACAAAGACGUUUGUGUAAGCCGCCGACGAGCAGUGUGAUUGCGGGUGCACAGAGACGUUUGUGUAAGCCGCCGACGAGCAGUGUGAUUGCGGGUGCACAAAGACGUUUGUGUAAGCCGCCAACGAGAAGUGAGAUUACGGGGGUACAAAGACGUUUGUAUCAGUCGCCGACGCGCAAAUUCUGGGAGUACAAAGAUGGACUACUGUAUGCCUGGAGAUAUACAUAUAUCCUUAUGAGGAAAUGCGGGGUGCAUAGAGUAGCAUGUACUAUCAGCGCACUGGAUGUUUUAUGUGGUGUAUUAGACACUGUGGUUGUUUCAUGCUAGAACUAGGCCUACAUGGUCAUAGUGCUAUGUACUGAGUCAGUGGUUUGCGGUUUAGCAUCUCAUACCUCACGGAGUAACUCUCCUGUUACUCACCCCUCUUUCUUCCCCUUGCAGGUGAACAUGACGAGUAGUUGGAUAUGUGGACGGAUUGGUGUUUUGGGAUCAUUGCAUUUUAUUUUGGUUUUAAUUAACUUUUCGAUUUAAUGUAUUUGGUUUUAAAUUAUAAACUGGUUUUAUUUGGAAAUUAUUUGAUUAAAAGGUUUGACAUUUUAUUCGGUUUUAUAAAUCGGUUUAAUUUGGUAUUUUUCGGUUAGUAGCACGCCGUUCUCGAGAGAGGAGGAAACGGGUGUUACACCGACAUUCAUUCGUUCACAUAUAAUAAAAAACAAAAAAAACAUGACGCAUUCUUAUAGUGAGAGGAAGAUGAUAGUACGGAGAUUGUGUUUAAUCUUUUAUCUUUCUUUCUCAAUAUUUGUUUUUGCUUCUCCUGGUAAGUACUUGUGUCGUCCAGACCAGAGGCAUGCUCUUUGGGAGUUCAAGAGAGAGUUCUAUGUCCAAAGGCUCAAUUUUCAUUGGUGGAAGUCUGAUCCAAAAACAGAAAAGUGGAGGAAGAACACUGAUUGCUGUUUUUGAGAUGGUGUGUCUUGUGAACUUAAGACGGGCAUGGUGAUUGAGUUAGACCUCAAGGAGAGCUUUCUCAAUGGCCCUUUGACAACUAACAGCAGUCUGUUUAGACUACAAUACCGAGUCUUAGUCUUGACUCGAAUAAUCUUUCUGGUACCCUACCAAAUUCCAUCAGCAACCACAAAUAUUUGAGGGUUUUGAGUCUUCCUGGCUGCAAUCUCUUCGGAAAGAUCCCCUCUUCAUUGAGGAAUCUUUCUUAUCUCACCAAACUUGAUCUUUUUGAAAACGGUUUCACCGGUGAACUUCCUGUUUUGAUCGGCAACCUAAGGCGACGAACGGACUUGCAAAUUGCAUUUAACAGCCUCAAUGGGAACUUUCCUCGUAUGCUACUCAACUUGAGCGAGCUCACCCGGAUCAUUUUUCGUUCAAACCAUUUCGAAGGUAUGCUUCCAUCUAAUCUAAGUAACCUCUCCAAACUGGUGUAUUUUGAUAUGAGCGGAAAUUCAUUUUCUGGACCUAUUCCGUCGUCCCUCUUCAUGAUGUCUUCGUUGACCCACCUUGCUCUAGUAAGAAAUGACUUUAGUGGUCCUCUUGAAAUAGGUAAUAUAUCCCUUAACCAUCUCAACUUAGAGAGUUAUCCCUUGGAGAAAACAAUUUCAGUGGGCCAAUAUCAAGGUCUAUAUUCAAACUAGUCGGCCUUAGGUCUCUUGAUCUCUCUUAUUGGAACACAGGCAAGGGUGUGGUCGAUUUUAGCAUCUUCUUGCAUCUCAAGUCACUUACCUCUCUUGACCUCUCCUAUCUGAAUACACAAAGUAUGGUUGACUUGAGUAUUUUUUUCACAUCUCAUCACACUCAGAAGUUUGGAUCUUUCAGGGAAUAAUCUAAAGAUUAAUUCAACCUUCCAUCUUCCCUCAUCCGUAGAAAUCUUGACAUUCUCAUCCUGUAAUAUUUAUGAGUUUCCCAAGUUUCUACACACCCAAACUAGAUUGGUAUAUUUAGACAUUUCUGCCGAUCAAAUUAAAGGUCAAGUACCAGAGUGGUUAUGGGGACUGCCAGUAUUGCGGUAUGUAAACAUUUCUCAAAAUUCCUUUAGCAGUUUUGAAGGACCACCUGAUGUUAUUCAAAGAAGUGAAAAAUAUAUGCUUGAUAUAAGCUCAAACACAUUUCAAGAUUUUCCUUUGUUACCAAACUCUACUAUUUUCUUUUUAGGCUCCAACAAUUUUUUUGGGGGAGAGAUUCCUAGAACAAUAUGUGAUAUGGUUUCACUUGAUACACUUGUUUUAUCCAACAACCACUUCAACAGUUCUAUUCCUCAGUGUUUUGAGAAUUUCAACGCCACUCUGUCCGUCUUGCAUCUUCAGAAUAAUAUCAUCUCUGGUACUUUUCCGGAGGAAACUAUUAGUGAUCACUUGAUAUCACUCGAUGUUGGUCACAGACUCACAAUCAGUUAUCAGGAGAACUUCCCAAGUCUCUGAUAAACUGUGCCCGCCUUGAGUUUCUGAACAUGGAAGACAAUAUGUUCAAUGACAUGUUUUCUUUUUGGUUGAGCUUGCUGCCUAAUCUACAGAUUCUUGUCCUUCGUUCUAACGAGUUCCAUGGCCCAAUAUCUUCUCGUAGAGAUUCUAUGAGUUUCCCCCAAGCUGCGUAUCUUUGACAUUUCACUGGAGUCUUGCCAUCAGAUUACUUUGUUUAUUGGAGUGCAAUGGCAUCUGUCGUAGACAUAGUCGAUCGUGCAUGGAGUCGGAUUGCAGGACGUGGUUCAGGGUACCAUCAUAAUUCAGUAGACCUAACGUACAAAGGAUUGAAGAUGGAUAAAUUGUGUCAUCACAAGGAUGAAAGAGGCCUCAGAUUUAAAGAUCAAGUGAAUUUUAAUAGAGCUAUGUUGGGGAAAAAUUAUGGCGUUUGAUUGAGAAACCAAAUACCUUUCUUUACAGUUUUCAAAUGAUGAUAUUUCAGGAAUGCAUCACCCAUGGAACCGAUUAAAUCAUACUCACCAUCUUAUGGAUGGCGCAGUAUUGUCUCAGCUAGAUUUGUGGUUAGCAAAUGACUAAUCAAAAGGAUGGAAUCAGGGUCAUCCAUCUCAGUAUGAAAUGAUCUUUGGCUCCCAACCACUCGCCCGAGACCAGAAAGUAGUAAUCAACACAAUAUCUACCAUGAUCUUACAGUGCAUUCUCUCAUCAACGCGACAUCAACAACAUGGAACUUUCAGGCAACCCGGGCUGUAGUGAAUCCGGAAGAUGUAAAGAUUAUAGAAAGUAUACCAUUGAGUUGGAACCUUUUGGUAGACCAAGAUGGAUGGCACUUCACUGAAAAGGGAAAAUAUACGGUUAAAUCUGGGUAUCAAGUGGAAUGGGUGUACCCUGAUACAGAAAAAACGGAUCCUGACGAGAUGUCACUAAUUUGAAAGCACAUUCCUGGAAAAUAUAAUGCCCACCGAAGAUGAAGCACUUCUUAUGGAAAAUAGUCACAGGAUGUCUAUCGGUUAAGAAAUAUUUGAGGGAAAGAGGGAUACAAUGUGAUACUCAGUGUGCAUGAUGUGGAGCAACACAGGAAUCAAUCCAACUACAUUUUGAAUCCAUUGCUUUGUGAAAAUAUGGAUCACUUGUAUUGGAGGGUGACCCCGAAAAUGGAAAAUCAUCAGUUCACAUGGAUUUUCUGGUACAUUUGGAAAGGAUAAAAUAACAUAGUUUUCAGUAAUAUAGACACUGACCCUAGAGAUACGUGACAAUUGGAAGAACCCAAAUCUAUUAUUUGGGAAGCGGCACAGACAUCACUAACACAAUGGUCAACCCAAUCAAGAGAGGGGGAGCUGAGGACUUUAUCUCACACCCUGGGACGGUGGUGUUUUACGGAUGGUUCAUGGAAAGAAAAGGAUAAAUACUCGGGACAAGAGUGGUACAUUACUUAAGAAUGUUUUAUUGGUUUGUUGGGGGCAAGAAAUAUGACCAUCCUCUCACCCCUUCAUUCGGAAAUAGAAGCUCUUAUCUUGGUAAUGGAAAAUGUGAGUAAUUUACGGCAGCUUCAUAUGACGUUCGCAACAGAUUUUUCUCAAGAAUGGUCUGCUUUUGCAACUUAAUUGAAAGAUAUCCAGAUCCUCAAGGGAAGUUUCAAUAGAUCAUAAGUCAUAUGUAUACCUCGAACGCAAAAUACGCAAAAUACAGGGGGCAUAGUCUCGCAUUAUGUUCUAAGAAACAACCGUUUUUUGUCUUUCACAUGAAAACGGAGUCACCAGUUUAGUGUGCAGAGUCCUAGCGGAAUCUGUUUAUGUUACUGGCUAAAAAUUAUGAAAAAACAAAUAUUCACUUAUAAAAUAAGGGUAAAAAAAAGUGCAGAUCAAUUUCUAGUUUUAUUUAUAAGAAAAUCAAACCAUGCAUUCUCACUUAUAAUAAUACGAACUUAAUCCUUCGUUUCAUUUUCAUUAUGUGGUAUUUAGGAUAUAAUAUACAAUCUUUACACUCUCAUUUUUUUGUGAUUGAAAUGAGAUUUUUUUUUGUUCUACAUAAUAAAUAAUGAACUAAUAUUUGAUUGAAACGCGUAAGGAUAUUUGACGAAACAUUGUAUCUAUGUCGGAAAUAGAAAAAUAAGGUAGUUAAAUAAUAGCAAUAGUCCACAAAAUAAGACUCAUAAUAAUAAUAAUAAUAAUAAUAAUAAUAAUAAAAUAUAGUAUGAUUUAUUCAUCAUCAAUAACUAAAACUGACUGUAGAAAGAGAAAGAAAAAAAAAACAGAAUUUUUUUGUCAACUUUGGGUUUCAUUAAAUCAUGCCUAAUAGGCCGAUGCAUUGGUAGCAUUACAAAAAGCCUAUAAUAUAAAUGAAAUAACGCCCAUAUCUUGAAGAUGUAACGAACUUGGUGUCCCUCCACAUAUUAGCUUCUAAGAGCACAAUUAUCGUGAGAUAUAUGAGGGGUUUUUAAGCGGUGGGUUCCACUUUUUAAUUAAAAACCGGUGAUAGAAGAGAUGAAAUAAAGAUCCACUUUUGUCUGUUUCUUGUACUGUUUGCGAGCCCCACUGACACGUGGCGGUCCAAGAUUAGUUCUUUUUUUAAUUUUUUUUUAAUCAGAGAAAAAAAAAAUUAAGAAACACAAAAAACAGUUUUAGGGAUAAUCAUGGCCGUCUGAAUACACGCGUCCUCCCACGUGUUUAUCAUGCCAAAAGUGGCUCCUAAGAUCGCCACAAAAUCUUCUACCACCAUGGACUUCCAGACUCGCCUCCUAUCACCAUCGUAUCUUUUCACGGGAUUUCGUCAACAGCAAUGAAGGAUGCAUUCCUCCUCAACCGCACAUAUCUGAUCAGAAAACCUCUUUUCACCGAAGUUAAUUAAAACAAAGGAAUCGAGGGUCAGACUAAAGCAUAAUCAUUUGUCGGACCGUUAUACAACACCAACUCAUCUUGAUUUACUCCAGAACUGGCUGAGAGUAUCCAUCAAACCCAAUCUAAUCUCAAAUCAGAGAUGUUUCCUUUACGCCAUAGCAGGCAAAUAAAUA